GAAAGAUCUGAUAGUUCAGGUUGGUGAAUACCUGAGCUGUCUUUCUAUUCCAUCUCAGUGGGCUAGAUACAUUUAUAUCGAAUUUUCAAACUAAGAAUAUUAUUCUUUUUAUAGAAAUUGGAGCAAAUUGGUAAAUAUCGGUAGCAAUCUAGCAUCAUCAUCACAGCCUGAUAUUUAAGUCAUUAUGUAGUGAACAAUCUAAUUUUUCACUGGUCUCAUUCUUGAAGAUGGGCCAUUGCUUUUCAGUUUGAUGAAACAAAUUAUUGCCGUAAUUAUUAGGAUAUGCUUAAUAGAAAUGCCAUAAUUUCUCUGAGCGAG
This 318-nucleotide unclassified non-coding RNA is filed under the name Hevea brasiliensis (rubber tree). Lineage: Eukaryota; Viridiplantae; Streptophyta; Magnoliopsida; Malpighiales; Euphorbiaceae. The record is from RNAcentral.